Long non-coding RNA from Pistacia vera, 558 nucleotides. RefSeq lists it as uncharacterized. The transcript has 4 exons. Lineage: Eukaryota; Viridiplantae; Streptophyta; Magnoliopsida; Sapindales; Anacardiaceae. The record is from RefSeq and is a predicted model, not a curated record.
GUUGUUAUCAAUUGAUUUCAAUCGUUGCUACUUUAUUUACUCUCCACCCUUCUUCGCGAAAGAAAACCACUCGAAAAUGGGAAGCCAGCCCACUCCCACCCUCGAUGAGCUUCUCAAGGAGUUGCGAGAUGCAGCAAACCGAGAAGCUGCCCCAGAAGCUGCCCUCGAAGAAAAUUAAUGAGUACUUUAAACGUUUAAAGAGAAUUGGCACUAAUAGGGGAACUCCCGAAACCUUUGAGGCAGGUAUUGUUGUAGGCGGCCUCACACAACACAGUUCCUCUGACGUCAGUGAGUUGGCCCUCUCUAUUCUUAGAGAACUGAGAACAACACAGAGGCCACCCAACAAAUGAUCAGAGCGAACCGUCACCAAUGAUGAUGUCAACCCCGUUGAUUUCGGCCAGUCUGAUUACUUCAUUGGGAACUUGCUUGUGGGUGACCGUGUAGGGUGUGGAGAUGAGUGUGAUGAAGGAUUGCCAAUUUCUGGAUUCAUCGUUUGUAGUUGAAUAUGUAGCGUUUAAGUAAUGUUGUAUCAAUUUCAAAUGUUCCUUGUACUUCAUU